This 253-nucleotide ribosomal RNA is filed under the name uncultured bacterium. RNAcentral's name for it is "partial 16S ribosomal RNA". It matches the Rfam family "Bacterial small subunit ribosomal RNA", at positions 524 to 776 of the family's 1533-position model. The record is from RNAcentral.
UACGUAGGGCGCAAGCGUUAUCCGGAAUUAUUGGGCGUAAAGAGCUCGUAGGCGGCUUGUCGCGUCGGAUGUGAAAGCCCGGGGCUUAACUCCGGGUCUGCAUUCGAUACGGGCAGGCUAGAGUUCGGUAGGGGAGAUCGGAAUUCCUGGUGUAGCGGUGAAAUGCGCAGAUAUCAGGAGGAACACCGGUGGCGAAGGCGGAUCUCUGGGCCGAUACUGACGCUGAGGAGCGAAAGCGUGGGGAGCGAACAGG